This 328-nucleotide ribosomal RNA is filed under the name uncultured eukaryote. Its description in RNAcentral is "partial 18S ribosomal RNA". It matches the Rfam family "Eukaryotic small subunit ribosomal RNA", at positions 1470 to 1796 of the family's 1831-position model. The record is from RNAcentral.
CCCUUAGAUGUCCGGGGCUGCACGCGCGCUACACUGAAGGAAUCAGCGUGCUAAAACCAUUGUCGAAAGGCAUCGGUAAACCCAUUAAAAUCCUACGUGAUUGGGAUCGGGAAUUGCAAUUAUUUCCCUUGAACGAGGAAUUCCCAGUAAGUGUGGGUCAUAAGCUCGCGUUGAUUACGUCCCUGCCCUUUGUACACACCGCCCGUCGCUGCCCGGGACUGAGCCGUUUCGAGAAAAGCGGGGACUGCUGCUGUCGGGGCUUUCGGGCCUUGGCUUCGGUGGAAACCGCUUUAAUCGCAGUGGCUUGAACCGGGCAAAAGUCGUAACA